AGAGGCGCGGGUCACAGAGACCUAGAACAGCUGGAAUCCUUCGCCCCCGGCGCGCAGCCUUCGCCCGCCGGAAUCGCUGCCUUAUCCACCAGCGGGAUGCUUACCUCGCCCGCCCUCUCGGGUCAGGCGGGCCCGGGAGGAUGGGAGGGUGGCUGCUGAGCGGGAGCCGCCACGUCUUCCACCCGACAUAUUGCCUAGAGUUUGCUGUGACUUAGAUCUUGAUUCAGAGAUGGAGAAAUCAGGCCCAUCUUCUACCAUCUCUGAGCAGCAGCUGCAGAGGCAAGAGGGAUGGAUUAACACCAAAACAGACUUGGCUGAGCAGAGUCUCAUUUCAUCUGAGAAAUGGCUUCAACUGCAUGGGCUUAAGAGCAACAAAUUGACCUUGAAACAGAUUUUGUCACAGAUCGGAUUCCCACAUUGUGAAGAUUAUGUGGCGUCUCUGGGGAGACCUGUGGCUUCUCGGUAUGCUGAUGGUCUGUUUCCACAGCUCUACAGAGCAGAAGAUGGCAGAGUAUACAAUCUAAAUCAGAACUGAUUUAUCAGUUUGUGGAACAUUUAACACAAGCUGUGGAGAGCUACAAGCAGCGAAUGGACUGGCUCACCAGCAAGAGCCGGCAGAUUUUUGGUGUCAUCUUGGAACAGUGCGUCACCAUAGUGCUGGAUUUUGGCGGCAUUCUGGAGGGGGAGCUUGAUCUGUGCCGAGAGGCUCUAACAAUGGUUCUCCAGGAGCAGGUGGCUCACAUAACCGAGUUCAAUAUCAUACGGGUUUCUCAAGAGCCUGUGAAGUGGCAGGAAAAUGCUACUCCUGUGACCGAACAGUCCAUAGCUACUGCCAUCAGUUGGGUUGAGAAACUGACGGUUGAGCUGACUGUGAGCGAGGCUGGCCGCCUGGAUGCUCUGCUGGAAGCCGGGAGAGACAAGACUAUUGAAUCCAUUUACUACUUUGUGGUGGGGGAUGUUCCUGAAGAAUCCAAGGAGCUUCUCCUCCAGAGGGCCUUGGAGAUCCCGUGUCCAGUCUACACAGUGUCCUUCAACGCCAGAGGAGAAGGCACUAUAGCUUUUCUAAAGGAUCUGAGUGCCAAGACCCACAGCAGAUUCCACGCAUUUGCCGAGAGAACAGAGUGUGUAGAAUUUCCUGCAUUCUCCACAAAGGAUGGUGACAAUGUGAUGACUUGGAAUUCAAGGAAACUGAAAGGAAAACUCCCUCCAGGAGCUGGAGUCAGAGAGGACGUGUUUCUCGUUUGGCAAGAGAUGGAGGAAGCCUGCAGCACGCUGGCCCAGAUCCAGAGGCUGGUGGCCGAGCCUCCCAAGCCCGACGUGGCCACUGUGGACUGCGAGUCAGAAACAACCUCUGUUGAGAUUGCAUCGAAUCCAGAAGACACCUGGGACUCUAAGACAUGGCUGCAGAAAUAUGGCUUGAAGGCCCAGAAGCUAUCCUUGUAUGAUGUGCUUGCCGACUGCUCUUUCCGCCACGCUGAUGGGGUUGUGGAUAUAAAAGCCAAACCGGAGAAUGAGUCCGUGCAGACCAGUGCGGAUUAAAUGGCUACAGGAUGGGAGUCAAAGCCUCUUUGGAAGAUUGCAUAAUGAUUGCAUCUACAUUCUCAUUGACACGUCUCACUCAAUGAAGAGCAAACUGGACUUGGUGAAGGACAAGAUCAUUCAGUUCAUACAGGAACAGCUGAAAUAUAAAAGUAAGUUUAACUUUGUGAAGUUUGAUGGUCAAGCAGUUGCUUGGCGGGAACAACUUGCUGAAGUCAAUGAAGAUAAUUUGGAACAGGCUCAGUCCUGGAUUAGAGACAUAAAGAUUGGAAGCUCCACAAACACCCUGAGUGCCCUGAAAACUGCUUUUGCUGAUAAAGAAACACAGGCAAUCUACCUUCUGACCGAUGGGAGACCUGAUCAGGGAACAUCAUCUCAUUUACUCCUCACAGCAGCCGUUUAAGGAGGGAGUAUCAGUUCUGAGCCACAGAUGAGGAAACUCACAUUAGACAGGACAUGCCCUAGGCCAUUCAGAUGGGCAGUGCUGGAUGAGCUUCAAGCCCAAGUCUCUCGCUCUGGAGCUGUUUCCUUCAUUCCAUACAGCUGAAGACAGCAUGAGUGGGAGAGACUGUCAUGUGUAUCAUUCCACCUGAAACAGUUAUAGACCAGGUCAAACGUUUUCAGGAAAUUCCUAUUUAUACCAUCUCCUUCAAUUACAAUGAUGAGAUUGCAAACAGGUUUUUGAAAGAGGUUGCUGCUUUGACUGGAGGAGAGUUCCAUUUUUAUAAUUUUGGUUGCAAGGAUCCCACUCCCCCAGAGGCUGUUCAGAAUGAAGAUCUGACUCUUUUAGUUAAGGAAAUGGAACAGGGUCACAGUGAUCUGGAGAAGAUGCAAGACCUUUAUUCUGAGUCCUUGAUCAUGGACUGGUGGUACAAUGCAGAAAAGGAUGGAGACAGCAAGCAUCAAAAGGAAAUCUGUUCUAUGAUUUCAACCCCAGAAAAGUGUGCAAAGCCUCAAUCUGAUGUCGAUUCAACACAAACUUCAUCUCUGAAUAUGUUGAAGGGACCAUGGGGCCUUUCAGAUCAAAAGGUUCAGAAAAAGAAAGUCCUUCACGCAGAAUCAACCAAAACCAGCCUGCUCAGAAGCCAGAUGUCCUCCCUCAGGAGCUCAGCUUGCAGUGAAAGGAAGGAUGGCCUCUCCAAUGCCAGCAGCCGGAGGACUGCUCUAAGUGACAAAGAAAUGAGCAUCUUGCUGGCUGAGGAGUGGCUGGAUGACAAAUCGUCAGAAAAGGUGACGCGAGAAGGAAGCCAGGUUUAUGACCACGAUUCUUCAGAUGUGUCUUCAGAAAACUGGCUGAAGACCUAUGGCUUGGUCGCCAAGAAACUCACCCUCAUGGAUGCCUUGUCAGUGGCAGCAGUCCCGCACAGCUCCACCUAUGUUCCCGUCCUGGACAAGCAUGUCGUGUCUAAGGUCUUUGAUGAGGUGUUCCCUCUGGCACAUGUGUGCAACGACACAAAUAAGAUGACAUUAAUUAACCCCCAAGGAGCCAAACUCAAUAUCUACAAGCGAAAAGUGGAACAGGCAAUUCAAUCCUAUGAAAAGCGCUUGAAUAAAAUUGUUUGGCGAGCAUUAUCUCAAGAGGAAAAAGAAAAGAGCCUGUAAUAUCUUGUUCCCCCUGGUGUCUCUCUGAAGUACUGCAGUAUCUCCAAUGCUGUAACAAGCUGUGACACUCAUUUCUGUUCUCAGAGGUCCCAACCUGACCUGCAAAAUAUGCCACUGUUCUCAUCAGCAUUCUGAAUCAGGUUAGAUGCAAACAAACCAAUACAGUACUUGGAAAACAAAACAGUUUUAAACCAGGCUUUAGAACGGUUGAAUUGGCCCAUUUCACUGAAAGAGCUGUCGAUGCUGGAAAGUGAAAUCCUAGCUGGGAAAAUGUACAUCCAGCAGGCCAUGGAACUCCAGGAGGCUGCCAAGAAGAAUUAUGCAAACAAGGCCCCGGGAGAGCAACAGAAAUUGCAAGGAAAUCCAACAAAGAAAACCAAAUCAAAAAGACCAGAUCCCCUCAAAGGACAGAAGGUUAUUGCAAGAUGUGAUGAAAAUGGCUUUUAUUUUCCAGGGGUUGUGAAGAAGUGUGUGAGCCGCACCCAAGCACUGGUGGGCUUCAGUUACGGAGACACCAAGGUCGUGUCCACCUCCUUCAUCACGCCUGUGGGGGGCGCCAUGCCCUGCCCGCUGCUCCAGGUUGGAGAUUAUGUGUUUGCCAAAAUUGUGAUACCCAAAGGAUUUGACUUCUAUGUCCCUGCCAUUGUCAUAGCACUUCCCAAUAAGCAUGUGGCCACAGAAAAAUUCUACACAGUUUUGAAGUGUAACAACCGGAGAGAAUUUUGCCCUCGGAGUGCACUUAUUAAGAUCAGCCAAAACAAGUAUGCGCUCUCUUGCUCUCAUAUAAAGUCACCCCCAAUUCCUGAGGAUCCAGAAGUAGAGGAUGUGGAGGCGAGGAACUCUGCUUUCCUCUUCUGGCCACUGAAAGAAGCGGACACGCAGGAUUCCAGAGAGCCAAGACGAGAGAAGCCCAGGAGGAAAAAGAGGCCCGCCAAGCAGCCACUCCAGCAGGCGGCGCCCUCGGACUCGGACGGCUCCUCCCACGGCAUCAGCUCCCAUGGGUCCUGCCAGGGGACACACCCCGAGCCCAGGACAGCCCACCUCCACUUCCCCGCGGCCGGGCGUCUAGGACUCAGCAGCCACGCCAUCAUUGCCACACCUCCACCUCGAGCAGCCCUGCCCUGUACUCUCCAAGCCACCCACAGCAGCAAAGGGCUGAGGAGCGUCCCUGAGACACUUUAAGGCCGUCUGGUGGCAGCUAUGUUUAAGAGACCAGCGUCCUUCCAGGCUGUUCAGACCUCAGCGUUGACACUGAAACUGGCCCCUCCGCGGAGGUAAGGCCGCCCUCCGCGCCGCCUAUGCCUGCCCUGUCUGUAGCAAAGACUCCUCUCCCCUCCAUCCCUGCUGCCUCCCCUACCCGUUUGACGACUUGGUUCUGGCUUUUUCUGACUGUUCUUUAUCCUGUUUUCCCCCUGCACUCACAAAAUUGUAUUCCAUCUUCUGGUAGACGCCCCACCCCCAGAAGUUUUAACCUGAAGGAUGACUGUCACAGGACUUUCAAAUUGUUUAGCAGUCAGCAUAGUCAGGAUCCAAGCCCGCAAUCUUGUUUUAAAUUAAUUAUCACAUCUAAAUUAGAGAAUUUGUCACCCAAUAUUAGGACUGAAAUUCAGACUCGGUAACUUGUCUGAGAUCUGCAAGACUGAACAUCCCCUACUGUAUAGUUUCCUGACAUUUUCAUUUAGCCUUUCCUAAUUAUUUUUGUCUAUAGUCUGUUGUAGGUAACUCUAAUUGAGCCCGAAACCAGAAUAAAAACUCUUACAUUGGAAACAUUUCAAAACCAUUGGAUUGUUGGAUUAUUUGUUACCAUUUUUCUCUGAACACAUUUUAGCAAUGACAUAUGAAAGUAUUCAGUUGUGUUUACUAACUUCAAAAAUGAAAUCGCUCCAUCAAAUUUCGUUUUUCUAGUCGGUAAGAUCCCUGAGGCUAGAUGAAAAUAGAGCACAGGUCAUCACUAGGGAAAAUAUUGGAUGCUUUUUGCAAACAGAACAGAUAGGGCUGAGUUCUGAUACUCUAAAAAUUUACAAUCUAAUUAAAAGUGGCAUUCACAUUCCUGAAAGCUAGGAGUAGCCAGGGUUAUGGUGAAGAAAUUAAAGAACUAAUCCACUUCUAAAAAUAUGAAAAAAAAAAAAUAA
Molecule: RNA transcript, 5273 nt
Organism: Homo sapiens (human)
Lineage: Eukaryota; Metazoa; Chordata; Mammalia; Primates; Hominidae
Gene: VWA3B
Gene name: von Willebrand factor A domain containing 3B
Exons: 29
Source: RefSeq, marked reviewed